GGUUAAGUUAUUAAGGGCGCAUGGUGGAUGCCUUGGCACUAGGAGCCGAUGAAGGACGGGACUAACACCGAUAUGCUUCGGGGAGCUGUAAGUAAGCUUUGAUCCGGAGAUUUCCGAAUGGGGGAACCCAACUUGUUAUGCAAGUUAUCACCUAAUGAAUAUAUAGUUAGGUUGAAGGUAGACGUUGUGAACUGAAACAUCUCAUUAGCAACAGGAAUAGAAAGAAAAAUCGAUACCGUCAGUAGCGGCGAGCGAAAUCGGUAGAGCCCAAACCAAAGUGCUUGCACUUUGGGGUUGUAGGACUGACAUUGUGGAGUUACAAAGUUAACAUUUAGCAGAAUCAGCUGGGAAGCUGAGCGAGACAGGGUGAUAGCCCCGUAUGCGAAAAAUGUUGACCUCCCGUCAGGAUCCUGAGUACGGCCGGACACGUGAAAUCCGGUCGGAAUCCGCGAGGACCAUCUCGCAAGGCUAAAUACUCCCUAGUGACCGAUAGUGAACCAGUACCGUGAGGGAAAGGUGAAAAGCACCCCGGAAGGGGAGUGAAAAAGUUCCUGAAACCAUGUGCCUACAAGAAGUUAGAGCCCGUUAAUGGGUGAUAGCGUGCCUUUUGUAGAAUGAACCGGCGAGUUACGAUAACGUGCAAGGUUAAGGUGGAAAGACCGGAGCCGUAGCGAAAGCGAGUCUGAAAUGGGCGAGUUAGUACGUUGUUGUAGACCCGAAACCAGGUGACCUACCCAUGUCC
Molecule: ribosomal RNA, 742 nt
Filed under: Weissella cibaria
Lineage: Bacteria; Bacillati; Bacillota; Bacilli; Lactobacillales; Lactobacillaceae
Description: partial 23S ribosomal RNA
Rfam family: Bacterial large subunit ribosomal RNA
Source: RNAcentral